Molecule: ribosomal RNA, 377 nt
Filed under: Salmonella enterica subsp. enterica serovar Anatum
Lineage: Bacteria; Pseudomonadati; Pseudomonadota; Gammaproteobacteria; Enterobacterales; Enterobacteriaceae
Also listed under: 2 other names
Description: partial 23S ribosomal RNA
Rfam family: Bacterial large subunit ribosomal RNA
Source: RNAcentral
CACACUAUCAUUAACUGAAUCCAUAGGUUAAUGAGGCGAACCGGGGGAACUGAAACAUCUAAGUACCCCGAGGAAAAGAAAUCAACCGAGAUUCCCCCAGUAGCGGCGAGCGAACGGGGAGGAGCCCAGAGCCUGAAUCAGCAUGUGUGUUAGUGGAAGCGUCUGGAAAGGCGCGCGAUACAGGGUGACAGCCCCGUACACAAAAGCGCAUGUGCUGUGAGCUCGAUGAGUAGGGCGGGACACGUGGUAUCCUGUCUGAAUAUGGGGGGACCAUCCUCCAAGGCUAAAUACUCCUGACUGACCGAUAGUGAACCAGUACCGUGAGGGAAAGGCGAAAAGAACCCCGGCGAGGGGAGUGAAAAAGAACCUGAAACCGU